Molecule: ribosomal RNA, 253 nt
Filed under: uncultured bacterium
Lineage: Bacteria
Description: partial 16S ribosomal RNA
Rfam family: Bacterial small subunit ribosomal RNA
Source: RNAcentral
UACGUAGGACGCAAGCGUUAUCCGGAGUUACUGGGCGUAAAGCGCGCGCAGGCGGCCUCGCAAGUCUGAUGUGAAAGCACUCUGCUCAACAGAGUGAUGCCAUUGGAAACUACGAGGCUGGAGUCUGGCAGAGGUAGGCGGAAUUCCGGGUGGAGUGGUGAAAUGCGUAGAGAUCCGGAGGAACACCAGUGGCGAAGGCGGCAUCCUGGACCGACAUUGACGCUGAGGAGCGAAAGCUAGGGGAGCAAACGGG